Molecule: microRNA precursor, 95 nt
Filed under: Paramuricea clavata
Lineage: Eukaryota; Metazoa; Cnidaria; Anthozoa; Malacalcyonacea; Plexauridae
Source: RNAcentral
UAGUGUAAACGCACUUCGGCCUGGCCUAGGUCAGGAAACCUGGAACACCUGUUCUGAUAGGCCCAGAUUUCCUGACCUAGGCCAGGCCGAAGUAC